This 459-nucleotide ribosomal RNA is filed under the name uncultured bacterium. RNAcentral describes it as "partial 16S ribosomal RNA". It matches the Rfam family "Bacterial small subunit ribosomal RNA", at positions 338 to 795 of the family's 1533-position model. The record is from RNAcentral.
CCUACGGGCGGCAGCAGUGAGGAAUAUUGGUCAAUGGCCGGAAGGCUGAACCAGCCAAGUCGCGUGAGGGACGACUGCCCUAUGGGUUGUAAACCUCUUUUAUAAGGGAAGAAUAAAUGCUACGUGUAGCAUGAUGCCUGUACCUUAUGAAUAAGCAUCGGCCAACUCCGUGCCAGCAGCCGGGGUAAUACGGAGGAUGCGAGCGUUAUCCGGAUUUAUUGGGUUUAAAGGGUGCGUAGGCGGGUCUUUAAGUUGGAGGUGAAACGUCGGGGCUUCACCUUGAUUUGCCGUCGGAACUGUGGGCCUUGAGUGCGGACGAGGCAUGCGGAAUGCGCGGAGUAGCGGUGAAAUGCAUAGAUAUCGCUCAGAACCCCGAUAGCGAAGGCAGCGUGCCGUGCCGCCACUGACGCUGAGGCACGAAAGCGUGGGGAGCGAACAGGAUUAGAUACCCCAGUAGUC